Long non-coding RNA from Antechinus flavipes (yellow-footed antechinus), 366 nucleotides. RefSeq lists it as uncharacterized. NCBI's taxonomy places the organism in Eukaryota, Metazoa, Chordata, Mammalia, Dasyuromorphia, Dasyuridae. The transcript has 2 exons. The record is from RefSeq and is a predicted model, not a curated record.
UCGGGGUCAGGGCCGCGCUGCCACCUCUCCGAGACUGACUCCGGGGGCUGCAACUCUCCGGGUCUCAGUCUCCACAAUUGUGAAAUGGCAUUUAGGCCCCUUGUAGCUGUAAGCCCACAACUCAGAAAGACCCAGCAGCAGCAGCCGCAGAAUGCACUUCAGAAGGGUCAAACAGCAAAAUCACCUGAUGGCCCUUCCAGGGCUUCUGAUAAGGAAGGCAUUCCCCAGGAGACAGCACAGCAUGGAAGCCGAGAGCCAUUCUCCGAGAGAAAAGGGGCCCGCGUGCGGGGGAAGAGCAGAUUCUUCAUUAAGGGUUCCCACCUUGAGGAUAUCACAGGACAGUCAAAAUAAACUAGUAUUAUCAUC